RNAcentral lists this non-coding RNA (23 nucleotides) under Mus musculus (house mouse). The record is from RNAcentral. Lineage: Eukaryota; Metazoa; Chordata; Mammalia; Rodentia; Muridae.
UUCCGAAGGUCCCGAGUUCAAAU